GAUGAACGCUGGCGGCGUGCCUAAUACAUGCAAGUCGAGCGAACGGACGCUAAUCUUGCUUCUCUCUUGUUAGCCGCGGGCGUGUGAAUCACACGUGUAUACCCUCCCUAUCUUACUGGUAUCACUUCGAGACUCCGGAUCUUAUCCCGUAUAAUCUUUUGCUCCGCGUUGUUCAAUAGUGAAUUUCGGUCUUUCUGUCACUUCUAGCUGCUUCCGCGCUGCAUUAGCUAGUUGGUAAGGUAACAGCUUACCAAGGCAACGAUGCAUAGCCGACCUGAGAGGGUGAUCGGCCACACUGGAACUGAGACACGGUCCAGACUCAUACGGGAGGCAGCAGUAGGGAAUCUUCCGCAAUGGGCGAAAGCCUGACGGAGCAACGCCGCGUGAGUGAUGAAGGUCUUCGGAUCGUAAAACUCUGUUAUUAGGGAAGAACAGAUGUGUAAGUAACUGUGCACAUCUUGACGGUACCUAAUCAGAAAGCCACGGCUAACUACGUG
Molecule: ribosomal RNA, 497 nt
Filed under: uncultured bacterium
Lineage: Bacteria
Description: partial 16S ribosomal RNA
Rfam family: Bacterial small subunit ribosomal RNA
Source: RNAcentral